UUUUGUUAUAUUUCUUAUGUAAAGUAGUAUUUAUUUAUUGUUACACCAGGUUCUAUUGAUCGUAGCUUGACUAUUCUCUCCCUUGUACGUCGCUUUUGGACAAAAUCCACAUGGAGUGAAAAUGACUAAAUGUAAAUGUAACAGUGGAGCGCUAAGCAGUCCAGGCCCCAGAGUGCAACGGGAGCUGGCCGUAGGUCAUCCUGCUGUGGGCUGAGGACGGCACCUCUAUCCUGGCAAACAGCGGUUGCAACAGUGCUCUUCUUGGGAGACAACAGCAACAGUGUUCAUGACAAAUAAUUGUCACAUGCUGAGCACAACAAGUGUUGUUUGGAAGAUCUCUGUUGAUGCAUCUCUCUGAGUGAUACAUCAGUGAGAGUAACCUUCAGCUUGGUUCAGAUCACAUCUGACCACAGAAGGCCACUGGGCAAUUUCACAUUUACAUUUAGUCAUUAUUCAAAGCGACUUACAAGGAUGUAUACACAUUUUUUACAUUUACACUGAUGGCACACUGCACAUCAGGAGUAAUUAGGGGUUCAGUGUCUUGCUCAAGGACGCUUCGACAGGGAAUUGAACUAGCAACCUUCUGAUUACUAAACGACUUCUCUACCUCUGUCGCCCCUAUUUCACUCCAGCACGACCUUCUCUGGUGACCCUACAGAACCACCAGCAGUUCGUCUGAUUGGCCAGUCUAUGUAGGAAAUCAUCACAAAACUGAGUAUGAAUGUCAUUUUUUUUUUUUAUGUUUACCAGUAGAAUCUGAACCGAUUUGAUCUCUAGGGAAUAAUGCAUUAUAGAGGUGAUGGAAAUUGAUAUUACCAUUAAUUUAUAUACUUACAUUGCAUUUUUUUUAUGUUUACCAGUAGAAUCUGAACCGAUUUGAUCUCUAGGGAAUAAUGCAUUAUAGAGGUUUUAACAGAUGAAGCACAGCACGUAUUAGUGAGAUAGGUAUCAAUGAUAUUAGUGAAAUAGAUAGCAAGCACUGUCUUCAUAAAAUGGAUUUACAGAUGGAGAGAACAGCACAAUGUAGUGUUAGAUAGAUAGAUGGAUACUUUAUUAAUCCCGAAGGAAAUUUAGGAAAUUGUGAAUUUAGUGUUACAACUUACAAGCUUACUUAUUGGAGGUAAGUCUGUCGAUGGAAGGCGUUAGUCUUCCUCUGUAGGCCUGGGUAAGGAGGUCUUCUGUAAGGGGACCACGUGCUAGGAGACAUGCAGCUGAAGGCUCAGUUCUCCAGAUGUCUUUGAAAGUGACAGUGGUCUGGAGCAGAUCGCCUGAAGCAAGAGUCAGACUGUGUCAGGCUGAGUCAGACUGUCAGCUGGGUAACACAGAGAGGGGAGGGCUGCAGGAAGCGGGGCAAACUCACGGAAUGUGAAGUUGUGUCAGAGAGGAUGCAAGAGCAGUUGGACAUUCUGCACAUCCUUCAAGCAAUUU
This is a long non-coding RNA of Clupea harengus (Atlantic herring), 1428 nucleotides long. The record is from Ensembl. NCBI's taxonomy places the organism in Eukaryota, Metazoa, Chordata, Actinopteri, Clupeiformes, Clupeidae.